UUCAUCAAGAGUAACGGAGGGACUGGCCCGAUGAUGUUACGGCAACCAUCACUUUGUGAACGGUGCUAAGUCCAUCAGGUGCAGCCUGAAAGAUGAA
This 97-nucleotide non-coding RNA is filed under the name Acidaminococcus hominis. Its description in RNAcentral is "SAM riboswitch (S box leader)". It matches the Rfam family "SAM riboswitch aptamer (S box leader)". From Rfam's summary of the family: The SAM riboswitch is found upstream of a number of genes which code for proteins involved in methionine or cysteine biosynthesis in Gram-positive bacteria. The SAM riboswitch acts at the level of transcription termination control. The predicted structure consists of a complex stem-loop region followed by a single stem loop terminator region. The record is from RNAcentral. Lineage: Bacteria; Bacillati; Bacillota; Negativicutes; Acidaminococcales; Acidaminococcaceae.